RNAcentral lists this ribosomal RNA (557 nucleotides) under uncultured Gammaproteobacteria bacterium. RNAcentral's name for it is "SSU rRNA". It matches the Rfam family "Bacterial small subunit ribosomal RNA", at positions 242 to 791 of the family's 1533-position model. Lineage: Bacteria; Pseudomonadati; Pseudomonadota; Gammaproteobacteria. The record is from RNAcentral.
CAGCUAGUUGGUGAGGUAAUGGCUCACCAAGGCGACGAUCCGUAACUGGUCUGAGAGGAUGAUCAGUCACACUGGAACUGAGACACGGUCCAGACUCCUACGGGAGGCAGCAGUGGGGAAUAUUGGACAAUGGGCGAAAGCCUGAUCCAGCCAUGCCGCGUGUGUGAAGAAGGUCUUCGGAUUGUAAAGCACUUUAAGUUGGGAGGAAGGGCAUUUACCUAAUACGUAAGUGUUUUGACGUUACCGACAGAAUAAGCACCGGCUAACUCUGUGCCAGCAGCCGCGGUAAUACAGAGGGUGCAAGCGUUAAUCGGAAUUACUGGGCGUAAAGCGCGCGUAGGUGGUUUGUUAAGUUGAAUGUGAAAUCCCCGGGCUCAACCUGGGAACUGCAUCCAAAACUGGCAAGCUAGAGUAUGGUAGAGGGUGGUGGAACUUCCUGUGUAGCGGUGAAAUGCGUAGAUAUAGGAAGGAACACCAGUGGCGAAGGCGACCACCUGGACUGAUACUGACACUGAGGUGCGAAAGCGUGGGGAGCAAACAGGACUAGAUACCCUGGU